Molecule: non-coding RNA, 4267 nt
Organism: Chlorocebus sabaeus (green monkey)
Lineage: Eukaryota; Metazoa; Chordata; Mammalia; Primates; Cercopithecidae
Source: RefSeq, a predicted model, not a curated record
UGCCAUUCUUUGUAAGUAACUGGGGGUCACGUUUACACUGCUCUACUCACACACCAUCACCUAAUUCCCCCUGAGAUCCAGCGAGUGCAUUUGCACUUGGUUAUAAGUGCAGAGAGCCCUGGAAUCUUUAUCAGGAGAACAGAAUUUGGGUGACAGCCUUGUCGCAUACCAGAAGGAGUUUGCCAAGCCCUGUUCCAAGUGUGAUGCCUGGACCACCUGCAGCAGGAUCACUGUGUUGAAAUGCAGAUUUGUGUCUCCAGUUCCAUCCAAGCCAGGCGGCAGAGGAAGCAUCAGAAGAGUCAAGUGGAACAUGGUCCGUGAUGGGUCACAAGCCCAGGGGCCCAGGGAAGCACAAUCAGUCCCUAUGGGAGACGCCGGCUGCCAUGUUGCGAAGAUACUCAAGCAAUCCUAUGGAGAGGUACACAUUGUGAAACACCGAGGCCUCCUGCCAAUAGCCAGCAUGGAGCUGGGGUUUCCUGCUAACUACUAAAAAAGAGUGACUCGUCUUGGGGGCAGGUUCUUCAGCCCUAGUUAAACCUUCAGAUGAUCAAAACCCCUGUUGAUAGCAUGACUGAAAACUCAUAAGAGACACCAAAUAAGAACCACGCAGCUGAACCUCUCUUAUGUACCUGACCCACAAAAACCACACACUAACAAAGGUCUGUUGUUUUAACUAAGUAUUAGAGUAAUCUGUUGUGCAACAAUAGAUAAUUAAUACAUAGUUGGUCAGAUUUUCUAACCUAUCAUGAGAAUCAGCAAUACUCACGAAACCUGUGAUAAACACACACAUACACAACUACUCACUUUUUUUAAUUGAAAGAAUAACAUUUUCAGAUUUUAUCAUUGAAGUUCUACUUUAGAAACAAUACCUGAAUCUGACCCUUUUAAAUAAAUAACUUGUCAAAGGUGCUGUUUAUAUGCAACAAAUUCAUGUGCUAACUGAAAUUAUUUUUAAAUGGGUGGUAUAAGCACAGAUUUUCAUUACUCUACACUGUGCUACAUACAUGACUGUCACUAAUAAACUUCUUGACACUGCAUCUAAAGUUACUUCUAGAUGCUUCUUGCAUUGGCUCCUUUUUAUAAGGAUAUCGAUUUCCUUUUUGUUUGGGAUCUUAUGUUCAAAAAGGGAAGCAGAUGCAUGUUUAUUAUGAAGAUGAAACCUAUCUUUUGUGAGAAUGAGAUUUUAAAAAUCACACUUAGGACAUUAAAUAAUGCUUGUGCAGCAAAGAUCAUAAUGACAUCAUGCAUCUGUGGAGAGUUUACAAGCACACAUACUUAUUUAAGCCUGCUAGCAGUCCUAUAGAGUAGGCAUUAUUUUUCCCAUUUUAAACAGACAAAAACGAUUCACGUGAGAAUUGUCCAAGACUUACCACCACUUCCAGACCACCAAAGGUAAUCUUCUCAGUGCAAGCCCAAAUUCUCCUUUUUCUUUUCUCCCAAUGAUGUAGAAUCCUUUCUGGAAAGGGGCGCAGGUUGAAAUGCUAAGCUAGGCAAGUUGGAGUAUAAUAAAGUAGCUGAUGAGCUACAGUUGGGAGGGUGUUAAAGAGAGAGAGAGAGACAUCAAAUCAACAGUGGGGUAUGAGGGAAGAGAAAUUUAAUGUGUUCUAUGGGCAAUUUAUUUGCAUCUCCUUUAAUUUCAUUUGUGAGAUAUGAGAAAUUAAUAGAAUCUGUUUUAAUUAUUUUUGCCUGUUGAACUGUGCUUUUUCAACAUAUCACUUUAAAGCUUUUGGAUUUUAAGGUGGCACAUUUGAGAAUGUUAAGGUUCAGAAAGUAGAAAUAACCUUCCCAAGAAUCCAGAUUUUCUAAUUGAAGUGGUUUUUCCACUUUGUCCCUUAGCUUCCUUGUUCAUCUAUUCAUGCAACAAAUAGUAACUGGUCACAUAAUGGACUCAGGGCCUUAUCCUAGGCCAUUAGAAAAUAAGUUAGCUUAAAGGUACAAAAACUGUCAUUUCGAAACUCAGCAAAAGAAUUACAGACCUGAAUUCAGUCACCUUUGGGUCAGAUUAUUCCCAUGCUUGGGAUAAACAAGUGGGUGGGCUCUUUAAUUACCCAAAUGCAAAACAAACACCCGCCAUUAUUCAGAGCCAAAGCUGUGAAGUGACAGUAAUGCUAUGUUUUAGAAUGAGAACAAAAGCCUCCUCUAAUUGUAAAUUUUUUACCUAUGGUUGAGCCAAAGCUGUGGUGAUUUUUUUUUUCUUUUUUUCUUUUUGUCAUCCUGCUUAUCUUUCUAGAGAAUAUGUGGCAAGACUACGCCUUUUCUCUAUGUAGAUCUAGGGUACCCUGUACCAGUAAACCUUUGUUUCUCUUGAAGAGAGACAGACAUUCAAGAGUCAUCCUAACUUUAGGAUAAAAGGAGAACUGUAAACAGGGCUCUUUGUGGUUCAGGCUGUACUAGGAUGUGGGUGUCCUGCACAUUGUGUUAUUUAAGAACAAAUAAAAUACCCCUUGGGAAAUCCAUUAAUGUUAGAAUACUGUGUUCUAAUGUGCUUAUCCUGUUGAGGUUAUUUCUGUCUUGGAUGACGAAAUGCGGACUUGGGAAAUAACCUCAGGCUGGGCUGAAGAGGAAACCAGUGAGCAUUACUCUCCUUAUUCAGGCUUCCUGCAUUCCGCUUGACUACUCACCCCAUCUUGAAAUUCUCUUCCCUCUUGGGUUCUACGUUGCUGCUGUUUUUUGGUUUUUCUCCUACAGCACUUGAUGCUCUUGUUCAAACUUCUUUUCCAACCUCCAUUCUCCACCCAAGUUCACUUCUCUCAGGACCUGGUUGUUGACUUCUCUUCUAUAAUAGCCUCACUCUCUCUCUCUCUCUCUGCUAUCUUACCCAUUGUCAGGGCUUUAACUACCAUCUAUAUUUUGAUGACGCCCAAAUUUAUAUCUCUGGCCCUCAUUUUUUCCUUGAAUUCAAUACCUACAUGUCCAACUGCCUUCUUGGCAUGGCCACUUGACUACCCAAUAGGUCUCUCAAAUUAAACACUUAAGAGGAACUCUUGAUUUGUCCCAAACUCUAUUCCUCCCCCAAUAUUCCCCUUCUAAGGAAAUGGUGCCUUUACCCACUCAUUUGCUCAACUAAACACUGGAAGUCAAAUGGAAUUCUUUCCUUUGCAUCCUCACUCAUAACAUAUCAGGAAGUUGCAUUGGUUCUAUCUCUAAUACACAUCCACUUCUUCUCAUCUCUGCUUCUAACACCAUUGUACAAGCUACCAUUAUAUUGCCUGGGCUGUUGCAAUAGCCUACGGGUGUCUCUACUUAGUAUAUUGGUGGACUACUCCACUAUGUUUUCAGCAGUCAGAGUAAACUUUUAAAUAAGUGUUAUCAAAUCAUGGCCUCUUUUAGUUAAUAUCUCCUGCUGCCUUAGGAAUAAAAACCAAGCCUCUGCAUAAUCUAGUGCCCACUUCACUUCCCCAACUCAUUCCAUUUCAUCCCACUCUCCCCCUCACUCCUGCCAUAAUAUCUUCUUUUAGGUGAAGGAAAGCCACACCACUUUACCCCCAAUGCCAGAACAAUGAUGGCAACACCAUUCCAAGGGAAGUGGGUAGUCCUGGACCUGUUGGGAGACAGCAGCAGGAACUCAAUGUGGAUUCUGAGGAAGGAGAGGUGGGGAGGUGGAGGGGGGCCUGCAGCACAGGCUUAACCUCAACUGAGCUCCAUGAACAUGAGAUACCGUGAGAUGCUCUGAGAGCAGUAGAGAGGCCAGUCGACAUCAGGGGCUGGUUGGGGCUGCUACCAAUGACAUGGGGUGCCUACCGAUUACAAUCAGCAGUAUUAAUGGAAAUGUGACCUCAUCACUGGGUGACAAGUACCUAAGACAUAUCAGUGUUUUUCACCAAUGAAUUCAAGAGCCUCUACCCUCCAGGACUUUCCAGUAUAAUAAAAGAGACAGACAGAUAAAUAAUUGUGAUACAGUAUGAGAAGUGCUCUCACAAACAUAGGUGCUAAGAGGAAAGAUGGCACAAAGGUAUCCAAGAGUAAUACUCACUAGAAGGUGGCACUAAGCAGACAGGGUUAUGGAGGAUUAUUCCACGGUGGCUGAAAGCAUGACCCCAUUUGGGUUUCUCCCAAGAAAAUUUCCAGGUGAUCAAAUUUUAGAUUUUAAUAUUGUCAGAAAAAUUAAGACUAGUACUAUGGGUAGAGAAAUGAAGGAGACCAUCUUUACUAGACGGUGCUUUUGACUUCAGAGUGUCAUGAAAGUGUUAGAUAUAAGUUCUAAAUUUCUUUUCAAAGAAUUAGUAUGUCAGUGUGUUCAAUUCUUUGCCUUCUACUUUUAAACUUA